GAAAAAUGAGGAGUGGUUUUUUUCUCGCUUUAUUAUGAGAGAAGAGCGUUUCGCUCCGUCUGUUACGACAAUCGAGCGCUCUCCUUUGUCCGUCAAUCUUUUUUC
This is a small nucleolar RNA of Brassica oleracea var. oleracea, 105 nucleotides long. It matches the Rfam family "Small nucleolar RNA Z279/snoR105/snoR108". From Rfam's summary of the family: This family includes the plant snoRNAs known as Z279, snoR105 and snoR108. All three are members of the C/D class of snoRNA which contain the C (UGAUGA) and D (CUGA) box motifs. The record is from Rfam. Lineage: Eukaryota; Viridiplantae; Streptophyta; Magnoliopsida; Brassicales; Brassicaceae.